Molecule: long non-coding RNA, 280 nt
Filed under: Elaeis guineensis (African oil palm)
Lineage: Eukaryota; Viridiplantae; Streptophyta; Magnoliopsida; Arecales; Arecaceae
Description: long non-coding RNA (EGUI_LNC071007)
Source: RNAcentral
AGCAGGUCAGGGGCCUCACCGAAGCAGUGCAGGCCAUGCAGCAACAGCCGCAGGCAUCAGUGCGGCUGGAAAGAGCAUUGCUGGAGUUUCAAAAUCCGACGACAGGGCAGGCCACUUGGGCCAGUCACCCUGUCUUCUCCGAAAAGGGGAAGCAGAAGGUGGAGAGCCCUCCAUCUGAUCAGGAUUCCACCCCGGAGGGUCCCUACCUCCAUUUCACCAGAAGACCCUCGAGACUCGCAGUCGAGAGGAUCUCCUAGAUCAAAGAUUUCAGGAGAUGAAC